AUUGAACGCUGGCUGCAGGCCUAACACAUGCAAGUCGAACGGUAACAGGAAGAAGCUUGCUUCUUUGCUGACGAGUGGCGGACGGGUGAGUAAUGUCUGGGAAACUGCCUGAUGGAGGGGGAUACCUACUGGAAACGGUAGCUAAUACCGCAUAACGUCGCAAGACCAAAGAGGGGGACCUUCGGGCCUCUUGCCAUCGGAUGUGCCCAGAUGGGAUUAGCUAGUAGGUGGGGUAACGGCUCACCUAGGCGACGAUCCCUAGCUGGUCUGAGAGGAUGACCAGCCACACUGGAACUGAGACACGGUCCAGACUCCUACGGGAGGCAGCAGUGGGGAAUAUUGCACAAUGGGCGCAAGCCUGAUGCAGCCAUGCCGCGUGUAUGAAGAAGGCCUUCGGGUUGUAAAGUACUUUCAGCGGGGAGGAAGGGAGUAAAGUUAAUACCUGUACUCAUUGACGGUACCCGCAGAAGAAGCACCGGCUAUCUCCGUG
This 490-nucleotide ribosomal RNA is filed under the name uncultured bacterium. RNAcentral describes it as "partial 16S ribosomal RNA". It matches the Rfam family "Bacterial small subunit ribosomal RNA", at positions 30 to 507 of the family's 1533-position model. The record is from RNAcentral.